This 3095-nucleotide unclassified non-coding RNA is filed under the name Leishmania donovani. RNAcentral's name for it is "gene:LdHU3.35.0060(CDS-product:pyruvate_kinase)". The record is from RNAcentral. Lineage: Eukaryota; Euglenozoa; Kinetoplastea; Trypanosomatida; Trypanosomatidae.
AGCCCAAGCGCACCAGCGACAGCCCGCGCGUCGCCUCUUGUACCACGCACGCCACCAUUCUUCUGUGUACAUCGCGCUUUUUUCUCCCACCUUCUGCGCCGCCUUUGAUGAUGAGGGACGCCCCAGUGCGUGGUGUUACGUCCCGGUAGCCCACUCUGUAUGGGAAAGCCAUACAGCCCCCUACUUGCUGACAAAUGCGGAACCACUUCUGGUGGUGGCAGGGUGGAGCGCCUACGACGGAGGGGGGGGUCAGCGCGAUGCAUUGCCACAGAUGUCGGCGGCCAGGCCCUGGACGGCGUUGCGCCGCAGCGACCUGCAAUCGUGCACACGUUAGUGUCACCCGUAUGAUUAGGCAGAAUGCCAAGGUGACUGGAACCUGCACUACCCGGCCCCCCACGCUGCCCACUGGAGUGGGGAGCCUGAGCCGCCCCGAGGGACGCACCAGGUGGGCGACUGGCAUAGUGGGGGAGCGGCUGUGAGGCGACCUGCGAAGCUGGUGUGGGCAGGGCUUAAGGCGGGGAGGCCGUGCUCUUCGACGACUGAGUCGGCGCGUUGCUGAAACGUUGGUGUCUGGCACUGCUUCGCACGACUGGAUGGGACCGUGAGAGGCCGGGGAGGGGUCGAGCCCGACUCAUGCGCUAUAGCAGUGUAGUCAUGCUCAAGUAAUUGGCGAGUGCACACAGAAAGUUACUGUCAGAGUCAAUGCUUCGCGUGCGUAGCCUUUCCUGUUCGCAGUUGGCUCACAACCUGACGCUCUCGAUCUUCGAGCCGGUUGCGAACCACCGGGCGACCCGGAUCGUGUGCACUAUCGGCCCUAGCACGCAGAGCGUGGAGGCGCUGAAGGGACUGAUUCAGAGCGGCAUGUCUGUUGCGCGCAUGAACUUCUCGCAUGGGUCACACGAGUACCACCGGACGACAAUCAACAAUGUGCGCCAGGCCGCCGCGGAGCUCGGUGUGAAUAUCGCGAUCGCGCUGGACACAAAGGGGCCCGAGAUUCGGACGGGACAGUUCGUUGGUGGCGAGGCCGUGAUGGAGCGAGGCGCGACAUGCUACGUGACGACAGACCCUGCGUUUGCUGACAAGGGCACCAAGGACAAGUUCUACAUCGACUACCAGAACCUGUCGAAGGUGGUGCGCCCUGGCAGCUACAUCUACAUCGACGACGGCAUCCUGAUCCUGCACGUGCAGAGCCACGAGGACGAGCAGACGCUGAAGUGCACGGUGACUAACGCGCACACGAUCUCUGACCGACGCGGUGUGAACCUGCCGGGGUGCGACGUGGACCUGCCGGCUGUGUCGGCGAAGGACUGCGCGGACCUGCAGUUUGGCGUGGAGCAGGGCGUGGACAUGAUCUUCGCGUCGUUCAUCCGGAGCGCGGAGCAGGUGGGCGAGGUGCGGGAGGCGCUUGGCGCGAAGGGACGUGACAUCAUGAUCAUCUGCAAGAUCGAGAACCACCAGGGCGUGCAGAACAUCGACUCUAUCAUUGAGGAGAGCGACGGCAUCAUGGUUGCGCGCGGCGACCUCGGUGUUGAGAUCCCAGCGGAGAAGGUGGUGGUUGCGCAGAAGAUCCUGAUCAGCAAGUGCAACGUUGCCGGCAAGCCGGUCAUCUGCGCGACGCAGAUGCUGGAGAGCAUGACGUACAACCCCCGCCCGACGCGCGCUGAGGUAUCGGAUGUCGCUAACGCUGUCUUCAACGGUGCGGAUUGCGUGAUGCUGUCUGGUGAGACGGCGAAGGGCAAGUAUCCGAAUGAGGUGGUUCAGUACAUGGCGCGCAUCUGCCUAGAGGCGCAGAGCGCCGUUAACGAAUACGUCUUCUUCAACAGCAUCAAAAAACUGCAGCCCAUCCCGAUGAGUGCUGAGGAGGCUGUUUGCAGCAGUGCCGUGAACUCUGUGUAUGAGACCAAGGCCAAGGUAAUGGUGGUGCUGAGCAACACCGGCCGCAGCGCUCGACUGGUGGCGAAGUACCGUCCGAACUGCCCGAUUGUGUGUGUGACGACGCGUCUGCAGACGUGCCGCCAGCUGAACAUCACACAAGGCGUGGAGAGUGUUUUCUUUGAUGCAGAAAAGCUCGGCCACGAUGAGGGCAAGGAGCAGCGCGUGGCCAUGGGUGUUGGAUUCGCCACGUCGAAGGGCUAUGUGCAGACUGGUGACUACUGCGUUGUGAUUCACGCUGAUCACAAGGUCAAGGGCUACGCCAACCAGACGCGCAUUCUUCUCGUCGAGUAAGUCUUAUUUCCAUUCGUACCUUGUCGCCACCCUUUCCUAUACAGGGCGAAUCUUUACUGUGGUGUAUUCUCUCCUUUGGCUCGUCAGCCCCAGCAUUCAGCCUUUCGACAUGUGUUUACGGUUACUAUGUUCUGUGGCUUGUUGUUGCUUUUUCCCUCUCGUGUGCGCGGUCUGUCGUACCUUCACGAAUGACGACAUCAGUUUUUUUUCUAUAUUCUGUUUUUCUCCCGGCUCCCCUCGUGUCUACCCAUUUCUUUGUGCUGCGAGCAGCAGUAUGUCGUCGCACAACAUCGUGAGCUGUGUGAGUGUGUUGGUGGUGGUGGCCCGGCAGCUACCAGAGGGAGGAGAGGGCGUGAGCGGGGCUUCCCGCAUAUGAAGAAUAACGUUUUUUUUUCAAGCUGGAGAAGGUGUCUGAAUCGGUGGCAGCUUUUCUGUUACGUAGGACUGCAGCCUUUCUCACCUAUUUCAAACACGCUAAAGCGCUGCGCCUUUACGUGCCCUCUCUUUCCCUCUACCUGUCAUCUCUCUUUUCUCAGAAGACCGCCGCCGUAGGUUUUUUUCGCCCGGGUAUACGCCUCUUUCUCGCCUUGCACUUUCGCCGCACAAAAAAAGGUUCACAUCCACAGUGCAACCUUCAGUACAGCUGUUCGCUGCCUUAGAUACCUUAUCGCGUACAAUGCCACGUUCUCGACUCCUUUAUCUUUCUACUUUGGUGUUUCAUCGAGUGAAAGGCAUCAUCACGGCACUGCUCUCAGUCACAUCCGUGGUGCUUCCUAUUCGUGCCGGCAAUAAAGAGACAAACGAGGCGAGAUUAUGAUUGAUCAUCGGGUCCGUGUAUUUCUGAAGCAAGCACACGCUUGCACAAACUU